RNAcentral lists this transfer RNA (74 nucleotides) under Gemmatimonadales bacterium. RNAcentral describes it as "tRNA-Pro". It matches the Rfam family "tRNA". From Rfam's summary of the family: Transfer RNA (tRNA) molecules are approximately 80 nucleotides in length. Their secondary structure includes four short double-helical elements and three loops (D, anti-codon, and T loops). Lineage: Bacteria; Pseudomonadati; Gemmatimonadota; Gemmatimonadia; Gemmatimonadales. RNAcentral also lists the same sequence under 1 other name. The record is from RNAcentral.
CGGGGCGUGGCGCAGCCCGGUAGCGCGCCUGCUUUGGGAGCAGGAGGUCCCGGGUUCGAAUCCCGGCGCCCCGA